CGGGGUGCAGCAGGCGCGAAAACUUUGCAAUACACGAAAGUGUGACAGGGUCAUCCCGAGUGCCGACCGCUGAGGUUGGCUUUUACCCAGUCUAGAAAGCUGGGGGAAUAAGGAGAGGGCAAGUCUGGUGUCAGCCGCCGCGGUAAUACCAGCUCUCCGAGUGGUGUGGACGUUUAUUGGGCCUAAAGCAUCCGUAGCUGGCUGAACAAGUCCCCUGUUAAACCCACCGAUUUAAUCGUUGGUCUGCGGGGGAUACUGCUCGGCUAGGGGACGAGAGAGGCAGACGGUAUUCCCGGGGUAGGGGUGAAAUCCUAUAAUCCCGAGAAGACCACCAGUGGCGAAGGCUGUCUGCUAGAACGCGCCCGACGGUGAGGGAUGAAAGCUGGGGGAGCGAACCGGAUUAGAUACCCGGGUAGUCCCAGCUGUAAACGAUGCAGACUAGGUGUUUGGACGGCCACGUGCCGUUCUAGUGCCGCAGGGAAGCUGUUAAGUCUGCCGCCUGGGGAGUACGAUCGCAAGAUUGAAACUUAAAGGAAUUGGCGGGGGAGCACAA
This 553-nucleotide ribosomal RNA is filed under the name uncultured archaeon. RNAcentral describes it as "bacterial SSU rRNA". It matches the Rfam family "Archaeal small subunit ribosomal RNA", at positions 326 to 881 of the family's 1478-position model. The record is from RNAcentral.